CGCGGCCUAUCAGCUUGUUGGUGAGGUAAAGGCUCACCAAGGCUACGAUUGGUAGCCGGCCUGAGAGGGCGGACGGUCACACUGGGACUGAGACACGGCCCAGACUCCUACGGGAGGCAGCAGUGGGGAAUUUUUGUCAAUGGGGGAAACCCUGAACAAGCAACGCCGCGUGGAGGACGAAGACCCUCGGGUUGUAAACUCCUGUCGGAGGGGACGAAGGCUAUCGUGGUUAGUACCCACGGUGGUUGACGGUACCCUACGAGGAAGCCCCGGCUAACUCCGUGCCAGCAGCCGCGGUAAUACGGGGGGGGCAAGCGUUGUUCGGAAUUACUGGGCGUAAAGGGCGCGCAGGCGGGCGGGAAAGUCUCUCGUGAAAGCCCACGGCUCAACCGUGGAAUUGCGGGAGAUACUACUCGUCUUGAGUCCGGGAGAGGAGUGUGGAAUUCCCAGUGUAGCGGUGAAAUGCGUAGAUAUUGGGAGGAACACCGGUGGCGAAGGCGGCACUCUGGACCGGUACUGACGCUGAGGCGCGAAAGCCAGGGGAGCAAACGGGAUUAGAUACCCCGGUAGUCCUGGCUGUAAACGAUGAGCACUUGGUGUAGCGGGUAUCGACCCCUGCUGUGCCGAAGCUAACACAUUAAGUGCCCCGCCUGGGGAGUACGG
RNAcentral lists this ribosomal RNA (663 nucleotides) under uncultured bacterium. RNAcentral describes it as "bacterial SSU rRNA". It matches the Rfam family "Bacterial small subunit ribosomal RNA", at positions 232 to 885 of the family's 1533-position model. The record is from RNAcentral.